Molecule: ribosomal RNA, 377 nt
Filed under: uncultured bacterium
Lineage: Bacteria
Description: bacterial SSU rRNA
Rfam family: Bacterial small subunit ribosomal RNA
Source: RNAcentral
UACGGAGGGUGCAAGCGUUAAUCGGAAUUACUGGGCGUAAAGGGUGCGUAGGUUGUUAAGUAAGUUAUCUGUGAAAUUCCUGGGCUCAACCUAGGGUGGUCAGAUAAGACUGCUGGACUUAGAGUAUAGGAGAGGGUAGUGGAAUUUCCGGUGUAGCGGUGAAAUGCGUAGAGAUCGGAAGGAACACCAGUGGCGAAGGCGGCUACCUGGCCUAAUACUGACACUGAGGCACGAAAGCGUGGGGAGCAAACAGGAUUAGAUACACUGGUAGUCCACGCUGUAAACGAUGUCAACUAGCUGUUGGCCUUAUGAAUGAGGUUAGUGGCGCAGCAAACGCGAUAAGUUGACCGCCUGGGGAGUACGGUCGCAAGAUUAAA